UACCUCAUUGCCCUGCGAGAAUUAAGGAUUUACCUCUGCGAUGAGUUGACCCACUUGUCCAUCCCCCAAAUAUCUGAGUCAGAGUGGGAUUCCACUUCUUCACCCUUCUCCUCCUCCGGCACUUGUCCUUCUCCUCUUCCUCUUGAGACAUUGGUUGUAUUCGAUUGCCCUGAUCUUAUCUCCUUCCCAAUUGAUUUAACCCGAACACCUUCUCUCUCUUCCCUGGACAUAUCAUACUGUGAGAAAUUAACCUUCUUGCCCAAGGGGAAGCUUUGUUCUCUUAAAAGAUUAGAUUUGUUAACCAUCGGACCAUUCUCAGAAACCACCACAGAGCUGCAUUCCUUCCUAGACCUCUUUGAUGCUCUCCCACCACCGCACCCCUACUUCCCCUCCCUUUCAGAAUUAUGUCUGCGUGGAUGGCCUCAUUGGGAAUCUCUGCCCGAGCAACUUCAGCAGCUCUCUGCUCUAAGAGAACUUUGGCUAGAUGGUUUUGGAGUAAAAUCAUUGCCUGAUUGGUUUGAGAAGCUUUCCUCACUUGAAACACUCAGUCUCUGCGGUUGUGAAAAGUUAGAGAAUUUCCCCUCUCGCCAAUCUAUGAGAAGCCUCACCAGCCUAACAAAUCUGUGGAUUCAAAGGUGUCCCCUUCUAAAGGAAAGAUGCAAUCCAGAGAGCAGCAGCAGCAACCGCACAGACCGCAAUUCUGAGUGGUCAAAGAUCUCCCACAUUCGCUCCAUUCAUAUUGAUUUCGAGCAGAUCAGAGGCUAAUCUCCAUUUGAAGUUCAUAAAUAAUGUCAGUUUCCCCAAUCAAAGCUACUAGUCUAAAUUUUGCCGAAUAACUGUUGCGAACCUAUCUUUCCUUGGUUCUCUCUGAAUUUCUGCUUUCCAGCUAUUGCAGUUUCCUUUUCCUCAAGAGGACUUGUUCACUUGGUGAGGGCCUUCUAUCUUCAAAAGCGUCCAUCAGGGCUCUUCCAAGGGGAGCUCUUCCUUCUUCUUGAUAUGGAGAAUGUUUUUAGGCGAUUCAUCUCUUAGUUGCAGAUUGUUUGAGAGCUGGACAUCUGAUGAAUGGUCUAAAGAAAUGUUUUCAUGGGGCUAUUACAAGGUUGAUGGAAAAGAUGUCAUGGUUAAUACUCUCCCUUUGCUCAUGUCAUAAAGUCCUCCAGCCUAUCAUGCUAUAUUGAUAAUUGUGAGUCUUUGAAAUGAAUCAGGAAGGAUCAACUUUGUUAGCAGUAUAGUCCUUGAGGAUGGCAAUUCCUGGUGAGAGAGUGUCCAUGCCUUGUAAGGGGAACCUGUUAUGAAAAAUACUUGGUAAAGAACAGAUAUAUGGAUUAGCCAAUACAUGGGAAAGCAGCUGGUUGGAUUUUAAGUCAUGUCUUGCAGAAACAGAAUUCGCCCCCAUUCUGAUGACGAAUGCUGCUAAUGGGGCUUGUCAGCCCUUUAAGGAAACAUAGCUUGGUCUCCUCAAGAAGCUUUCAUUGAUCUGUUGAAGGAUUCUGAGUUGGCACAUCUGAAAAGCUUGAGUGGUAACCCUCGUACCAAUUCAUCAGAAGCCUCCCUAUAGGAUGCAUAUCUUCUGAUCUAAAGGGAAGGUGCUGUAACAAGAGCUGCUGCCCCAACAUUGAAUGGUACUGGCAUUACCAGAUACUCUACUUUGAGAUUGAUCAUAUUCUAAUUGGAUGCUAAGUUGUCAAAAUUUGCUCAAAUUCUCAGAAAAUACUUGUCUAUGCCUAUGUUAUGGAUGCCUCAAUACAGUAUAUACCAUUAUGCUGGCUUCAGUUCUAUGUUAAGGAUGCCUCAAUGCAGUAUACACGAUUAUUGCUACAUGUAAAGUCAAUGAGUAUUACAAUUUAACACAUUGUAACGUAUAUGAUCUUGCACAAUCUAUUUUGAGUUUUGGAAAAUCUGGUGCAGAGAACAUUUGCAAAA
Non-coding RNA from Coffea arabica (coffee), 1923 nucleotides. The record is from RefSeq and is a predicted model, not a curated record. NCBI's taxonomy places the organism in Eukaryota, Viridiplantae, Streptophyta, Magnoliopsida, Gentianales, Rubiaceae.